RNAcentral lists this ribosomal RNA (379 nucleotides) under uncultured cyanobacterium. RNAcentral's name for it is "bacterial SSU rRNA". It matches the Rfam family "Bacterial small subunit ribosomal RNA", at positions 376 to 770 of the family's 1533-position model. Lineage: Bacteria; Bacillati; Cyanobacteriota. The record is from RNAcentral.
CGAAAGCCUGACGGAGCAAUACCGCGUGAGGGAGGAAGGCUUUUGGGCUGUAAACCUCUUUUCUCAAGGAAGAAGACCUGACGGUACUUGAGGAAUAAGCCACGGCUAAUUCCGUGCCAGCAGCCGCGGUAAUACGGGAGUGGCAAGCGUUAUCCGGAAUCAUUGGGCGUAAAGCGUCCGCAGGUGGCUGUUCAAGUCUGCUGUCAAAGACAGAAGCUUAACUUCUGAAAGGCAGUGGAAACUGGAGAGCUAGAGUACGGUAGGGGUUGAGGGAAUUCCCAGUGUAGCGGUGAAAUGCGUAGAUAUUGGGAAGAACACCAGUGGCGAAGGCGCUCAACUGGGCCGUAACUGACACUCAGGGACGAAAGCUAGGGGAGCG